Molecule: non-coding RNA, 30 nt
Filed under: Mus musculus (house mouse)
Lineage: Eukaryota; Metazoa; Chordata; Mammalia; Rodentia; Muridae
Source: RNAcentral
UCCAACAAGGUGGUCAGACAAACUGUCAGA